GUAGGUGAACCUGCGGAAGGAUCAUUAACACUAACUCAAAUAAUAAUUAAAAGCGUUAUUCGUUACGGUACACCCCGUGGCCUGUGUUAUUGCUGAUUGCUGGACGUGGAACACGGAAGGCAGGGCUACACCUGAGGCUAGAGUAACGCCUAUAUUGAACGUUUAUUAGAGGGUAUCGAUAUAUGAUUGUCAGGGGGGCUUGGCGUAUUAAUUUCGAUUGGUACGACCGAACCGGUGGGCUAUUGCGCCCCCCUCCUGAUUAAGAUUGGUACUCCUCGUGGGUUCCACAACGAAUGUAACUCAUCGAGUGUAUUUACGCUCAUUCUCUGGGUGUUUAUCUCAACUAUUUAAUUUUAGUUGAGUGAAAGAUGUCCCUUUUCGGAUGUCUUUUAACUAGAAAUAAACUCUGUACAACUCUUAGCAAUGGAUGUCUUGGUUUCC
RNAcentral lists this unclassified non-coding RNA (441 nucleotides) under rhizosphere metagenome. RNAcentral's name for it is "partial ribosomal RNA internal transcribed spacer region". The record is from RNAcentral.